RNAcentral lists this unclassified non-coding RNA (361 nucleotides) under soil metagenome. RNAcentral describes it as "partial contains 5.8S ribosomal RNA, internal transcribed spacer 2, and large subunit ribosomal RNA". The stretch from base 1 to 120 matches the Rfam family "5.8S ribosomal RNA", at positions 35 to 154 of the family's 154-position model. The record is from RNAcentral.
GAUGAAGAACGUAGCGAAACGCGAUAAGUAAUGUGAAUUGCAGAAUUCAGUGAAUCAUCGAAUCUUUGAACGCACAUUGCGCCCGGUAGUAAUCUGCCGGGCAUGCCUGUCCGAGCGUCAUUUCAACCCUCGAACCACUAUUCGCGUAGCUGGAUCGGUGUUGGGGCACUACGGUGGAAUACCCGUAGGCCCCGAAAUGAAGUGGCGGUCCCGCCGCGGCGCCCCCAUGCGUAGUAACAUCUCGUCUCGCAUCGGGUCCCGGCGGAGGCCUGCCGUCAAGCCUAUUUUCUAAUUACAGAUGGUUUGACCUCGGAUCAGGUAGGGUUACCCGCUGAACUUAAGCAUAUCAAUAAGCGGAGGA